UGCCAGCAGCCGCGGUAAUACGGAGGGUGCAAGCGUUGCUCGGAAUCACUGGGCGUAAAGGGUGCGUAGGCGGCCUUUUAAGUCAGAUGUGAAAGCCCACGGCUCACCCGUGGAAUUGCCUGGCAUACUGCAGUGCUAGAGUGUGGUAGGGGAGAGCAGAACUCCUGGUGGAGCGGUGAAAUGCGUAGAUAUCAGGAGGAAUACCGGUGGCGAAGGCGGCUCUCUGGUCCAUAACUGACGCUGAGGUGCGAAAGCUAGGGUAGCGAACGGGAUUAGAUA
Molecule: ribosomal RNA, 279 nt
Filed under: uncultured bacterium
Lineage: Bacteria
Description: partial 16S ribosomal RNA
Rfam family: Bacterial small subunit ribosomal RNA
Source: RNAcentral